This 72-nucleotide transfer RNA is filed under the name Sphaerodactylus townsendi. Its description in RNAcentral is "tRNA-Pro". Lineage: Eukaryota; Metazoa; Chordata; Lepidosauria; Squamata; Sphaerodactylidae. The record is from RNAcentral.
GGGGCAGUUGCUCAGUGGAAGACAUUCUGCUUGGGAUGCGGAAGGCCCCAGGUUCAAUCCUUGGAAUCUCCA